UCAAACUUGGUCAUUUAGAGGAAGUAAAAGUCGUAACAAGGUCUCCGUUGGUGAACCAGCGGAGGGAUCAUUGUAGAACGGCCGCAAGGCCAGGCCUAUCGAACCAAAAACACCGCGAACCUUACCUGUCGUUGCCUCGGCGGGCUGGGCCCCGUGCCCACCUCCGGCGCCGCCCCGCCCCCUCCCGGGCGGGGGCCGGCGGCCCGCCAAAGGCCCCUGAAAAAAAUAGCUUAUCACCCCCACGGGGGGCAGUGUCCUCUGAGAAAGCGCCGUCCCGCGAGGGACAGGCCACCUGUCAAAACUUUCAACAACGGAUCUCUUGGCUCUGGCAUCGAUGAAGAACGCAGC
This 348-nucleotide unclassified non-coding RNA is filed under the name uncultured fungus. RNAcentral describes it as "partial contains small subunit ribosomal RNA, internal transcribed spacer 1, and 5.8S ribosomal RNA". The stretch from base 1 to 73 matches the Rfam family "Eukaryotic small subunit ribosomal RNA", at positions 1759 to 1831 of the family's 1831-position model. The record is from RNAcentral. Lineage: Eukaryota; Fungi.